This is a small nuclear RNA of Heterocephalus glaber (naked mole-rat), 147 nucleotides long. Its record names the gene U2. It matches the Rfam family "U2 spliceosomal RNA". Rfam says of the family: U2 is a small nuclear RNA (snRNA) component of the spliceosome (involved in pre-mRNA splicing). Complementary binding between U2 snRNA (in an area lying towards the 5' end but 3' to hairpin I) and the branchpoint sequence (BPS) of the intron results the bulging out of an unpaired adenosine, on the BPS, which initiates a nucleophilic attack at the intronic 5' splice site, thus starting the first of two transesterification reactions that mediate splicing. NCBI's taxonomy places the organism in Eukaryota, Metazoa, Chordata, Mammalia, Rodentia, Bathyergidae. The record is from Ensembl.
AUCGCUUCUCGGCCUUUUGGCUAAGAUCAAGUGUAGUAUCAAUCAAACACCUGUGUAGUUGGUCUGUGACCACACAUCCAAGGCUGGGAAGUGACAGUUCCUGAGGGUUACUGCUUAUUCACACAGGAGCUGGUAACCCCUUCAUGU